This 254-nucleotide ribosomal RNA is filed under the name uncultured bacterium. Its description in RNAcentral is "partial 16S ribosomal RNA". It matches the Rfam family "Bacterial small subunit ribosomal RNA", at positions 524 to 776 of the family's 1533-position model. The record is from RNAcentral.
UACAGAGGGGGCAAGCGUUGUUCGGAAUUACUGGGCGUAAAGGGCGCGUAGGCGGCCUGUUAAGUCGAACGUGAAAUCCCGGGGCUCAACCCCGGGCCUGCAGUCGAUACGGGCAGACUAGAGUGCGGUAGGGGAGACUGGAAUUCCUGGUGUAGCGGUGAAAUGCGCAGAUAUCAGGAGGAACACCGGUGGACGAAGGCGGGUCUCUGGGCCGUAACUGACGCUGAGGAGCGAAAGCGUGGGGAGCAAACAGG